AACCGAGAACUCCUACGGGAGGCAGCAGUGAGGAAUAUUGGUCAAUGGGCGAGAGCCUGAACCAGCCAUGCCGCGUGCAGGAUGAAGCAUCUACGGUGUGUAAACUGCUUUUGUACGGGAAGAAACACCUCUACGUGUAGGGGCUUGACGGUACCGUAAGAAUAAGGAUCGGCUAACUCCGUGCCAGCAGCCGCGGUAAUACGGAGGAUCCAAGCGUUAUCCGGAAUCAUUGGGUCUAAAGGGUCCGUAGGCGGUUUUAUAAGUCAGUGGUGAAAUCCGGCAGCUCAACUGUCGAACUGCCAUUGAUACUGUAGAACUUGAAUUACUGUGAAGUAACUAGAAUAUGUAGUGUAGCGGUGAAAUGCUUAGAUAUUACAUGGAAUACCAAUUGCGAAGGCAGGUUACUAACAUUAUAUUGACGCUGAUGGACGAAAGCGUGGGGAGCGAACAGGAUUAGAAACCCGUGUAGUCCGACUGAGA
Molecule: ribosomal RNA, 480 nt
Filed under: uncultured bacterium
Lineage: Bacteria
Description: bacterial SSU rRNA
Rfam family: Bacterial small subunit ribosomal RNA
Source: RNAcentral